AAGGGUAUAGUUCAAGUGGUAGAGCGCACGCUUAGCAUUCAUGAGGUCCUGGGUUCAAUCCCCAGUACCUCUA
RNAcentral lists this transfer RNA (73 nucleotides) under Camelus bactrianus (Bactrian camel). It matches the Rfam family "tRNA". Rfam says of the family: Transfer RNA (tRNA) molecules are approximately 80 nucleotides in length. Their secondary structure includes four short double-helical elements and three loops (D, anti-codon, and T loops). Lineage: Eukaryota; Metazoa; Chordata; Mammalia; Artiodactyla; Camelidae. RNAcentral also lists the same sequence under 2 other names. The record is from Rfam by way of RNAcentral.